Molecule: non-coding RNA, 72 nt
Organism: Zopfochytrium polystomum
Lineage: Eukaryota; Fungi; Chytridiomycota; Chytridiomycetes; Chytridiales; Chytridiaceae
Source: the annotation of a GenBank genome assembly
AGCAGAGUAGUGUAGUGGAAGCUCGUUGGCCUCAUAACUCAAAAAUCGAACGAUCGAAACAUUCCGCUGCUG